Long non-coding RNA from Zophobas morio, 828 nucleotides. RefSeq lists it as uncharacterized. Lineage: Eukaryota; Metazoa; Arthropoda; Insecta; Coleoptera; Tenebrionidae. The transcript has 3 exons. The record is from RefSeq and is a predicted model, not a curated record.
GCCACUGAAGCGUUCAAUCGCGUCGGUUUUUAUUUUUCAGGUUUAAUUUGAAGCGUAAUGCGAAUAAUGGCGCAGUCUAUGUGGUUAUUAUGUUGACUUCUAAUGAAAUGGAUAAUGGUACUUUACCAUAGUUUACCUUUUUAAUGUAGGUGAAGUGUGUUGAGCAAUGUUGUUUUAAACUUAUUUGCGCAAUUUGGUGAGAAAUUGCAAAUAAUCUAUCCGUGUGUGAACGUAUAAUUAGCAAGUAACAUCACGUCGUGGCAUCCUGACAAACAAUGCAUAAAUUACACUGGAGGCUCAGACACGAUUUUGAAGAGCUUAAAGAUUAUGUGAAGAAAAUAAUAACCACAAAACUCUUAAGCUUAGCGAAAAUUCGGGAAAUGAAAUUUAAUGUAAGUACGUAUAUACAUAAUACAAAACCAACAAAACAAAUGCGAGCGAAAACGAUGCGGAAAACCCUAACUCGGAUUUCUCAACUUUAUUACUGCAACAAGUGAUACCACACGCAAAUAUAGUUUCCCCCAAAAAUACCAGCAGGUAAUAACCUCCGGUGAAACAGAGCAGAAAAAAACAUCCACGACAAGGCUAUCUAUACACUCUGGAAUUUAUGGCUAAACGCUGGAAACCGUUACUGGAUAAAACCGCUGAAAAGGUCGACAAUUAUUUAUUCACAAAAUCGCCAGGUUGUCAACUGAUUUAAAACAACAUUCUUGGCACACGCAGAUUUUGAUCAGAAAGAAGGGAUUUCACCGAAUUUUGGUUAAAAUGAAAAAUAUUGAAGCGGCUUUUUCGAAGAAAUUUAGCGAACCUUGACAUAAAUUAAAGCUU